Molecule: ribosomal RNA, 179 nt
Filed under: uncultured bacterium
Lineage: Bacteria
Description: partial 16S ribosomal RNA
Rfam family: Bacterial small subunit ribosomal RNA
Source: RNAcentral
GACUCCACGAAGUUGGAUUCGCUAGUAAUCGCGCAUCAGCCAUGGCGCGGUGAAUACGUUCCCGGGCCUUGUGCACACCGCCCGUCAAGCCAUGGGAGCCGGGGGCGCCUGAAGUCCGGGACCGCGAGGACCGGCCUAGGGCGAAACUGGUAACUGGGGCUAAGUCGUAACAAGGUAGC